GCGGAAUUGGCGGAUUUGGUAGCCGCACUAAAUUUAGGUCUUAGCGCCGUAAGGUGUGAGAGUUCAAGCCUCUCCUUCCGCACCU
This 85-nucleotide transfer RNA is filed under the name Photobacterium kishitanii. Its description in RNAcentral is "tRNA-Leu". It matches the Rfam family "tRNA". Rfam says of the family: Transfer RNA (tRNA) molecules are approximately 80 nucleotides in length. Their secondary structure includes four short double-helical elements and three loops (D, anti-codon, and T loops). Lineage: Bacteria; Pseudomonadati; Pseudomonadota; Gammaproteobacteria; Vibrionales; Vibrionaceae. The record is from RNAcentral.